RNAcentral lists this ribosomal RNA (1472 nucleotides) under uncultured Bordetella sp. RNAcentral's name for it is "partial 16S-23S ribosomal RNA intergenic spacer". It matches the Rfam family "Bacterial small subunit ribosomal RNA". Lineage: Bacteria; Pseudomonadati; Pseudomonadota; Betaproteobacteria; Burkholderiales; Alcaligenaceae. The record is from RNAcentral.
AGUCUGAUUAUGGCCUGUUGAUGAACGCUGGCGGGAUGCUUUACACAUGCAAGUCGAACGGCAGCGCACGGACUUCGGUCUGGUGGCGAGUGGCGAACGGUGAGUAAUGUGUAUCGGAACGUGCCUAGUAGUGGGGGAUAACGCCAUGCAGCAUAAUACCGCACGGCCAGCCCUUCGGGGAAAGCGGGGACCCGGGCUCGCACGAUGCGGAGCGCUUGAUAUCGGAUUAGCGAAGUAGGGUAACGGCUCACCAAGGCGACGAUCCGUGGCUGGUUUGAGAGGACGACCAGCCACACUGUGAUCCAGACACGGCCCGCAGACCUACGGGAGGCAGCAGUGGGGGAAUUUUGACAAUGGGGGAAAUCUCUGGAUCCAGCCAACCGCGUGUGCGAAAGUAAGGCCUUCGGGUUGUAAAGCACUUUGGCAGGAAAGUAAAAACGACACGGAUAAUACCCCGUGCAACUGACGUGUACCUGCAGAAGCACCGGUUAACUACGUGCCAGCAGCCGCGGUAAUACGUAGGGUGCAAGCGUUAAUCGAAUGCCAUUGGCGUAAAGCGUAAAGUAGGCGGUUCGAAAUGAAAGAUGAAAUCCCAGAGCUUAACUUUAAACUCAUUUUUAACUACCGAGCUAGAGUGUGUCAGAGGAGGUGGAAUUCCGCGUGUAGCAGUGAAAUGCGUAGAUAUGCGGAGGAACACCGAUGGCGAAGGCAGCCUCCUGGGAUAACACUGACGCUCAUGCACGAAAGCGUGGGGAGCAAACAGGAUUAGAUACUCCUGGUAGUCCACGCCCUAAACGAUGUCAACUAGCUGUUGGGGCCUUCGGGCUCCGGUAGCGCAGCUAACGCGUGAAGUUGACCGCCUGUGAGUACGGUCGCAAGAUUAAACUCAAAGGAAUUGACGGGGACCCGCACAAGCGGUGGAUGAUGUGGAUUAAUUCGAUGCAACGCGAAAAACCUUACCUACCCUUGACAUGUCUGGAAUCCCGAAGAGAUUUGGGAGUGCUCGCAAGAGAACCGGAACACAGGUGCUGUAUGGCUGUCGUCAGCUCGUGUCGUGAGAUGUUGGGUUAAGUCCCGCAACGAGCGCAACCCUUGUCAUUAGUUGCUGGCUGAAAGGGCACUCUAAUGAGACUGCCGGUGACAAACCGGAGGAAGGUGGGGAUGACGUCAAGUCCUCAUGGCCCUUAUGGGUAGGGCUUCACACGUCAUACAAUGGUGGUCGGGACAGAGGGUCGCUAACCCGCGAGGGGAGCCAAUCCCAGAAACCCGAUCGUAGUCCGAUCGCAGGUCUGCAACUCGACUGCGUGAAGUCGGAAUCGCUAGUAAUCGCGGACGACAAUGAGCCAGGUGGUGAACAUGUUCCUGGCCCUGUACACACCGCCCGUCACACCAUGGAGUGGGUUUACCGAAGUAGUUAGCCUAACCGUAAGAGGCAUUUACCACCAGAUUCAUGACUGGUGUCAACAAGGUAA